AGGGGUAUAGUUCUUCGGAAUUAGAGACCGGCGCACGGGUGCGUAACGCGUAUGCAAUCUACCUUUUACAGAGGGAUAGCCCAGAGAAAUUUGGAUUAAUACCUCAUAGCAUAGCAACUUCGCAUGAAGUCACUAUUAAAGUCACAACGGUAAAAGAUGAGCAUGCGUCCCAUUAGCUAGUUGGUAAGGUAACGGCUUACCAAGGCUACGAUGGGUAGGGGUCCUGAGAGGGAGAUCCCCCACACUGGUACUGAGACACGGACCAGACUCCUACGGGAGGCAGCAGUGAGGAAUAUUGGUCAAUGGACGCAAGUCUGAACCAGCCAUGCCGCGUGCAGGAUGACGGUCCUAUGGAUUGUAAACUGCUUUUGUACGAGAAGAAACACUGCUUCGUGAAGCAGCUUGACGGUAUCGUAAGAAUAAGGAUCGGCUAACUCCGUGCCAGCAGCCGCGGUAAUACGGAGGAUCCAAGCGUUAUCCGGAAUCAUUGGGUUUAAAGGGUCCGUAGGCGGUUUAGUAAGUCAGUGGUGAAAGCCCAUCGCUCAACGGUGGAACGGCCAUUGAUACUGCUAGACUUGAAUUAUUAGGAAGUAACUAGAAUAUGUAGUGUAGCGGUGAAAUGCUUAGAGAU
This 631-nucleotide ribosomal RNA is filed under the name uncultured Flavobacterium sp. RNAcentral's name for it is "bacterial SSU rRNA". It matches the Rfam family "Bacterial small subunit ribosomal RNA", at positions 65 to 697 of the family's 1533-position model. The record is from RNAcentral. Lineage: Bacteria; Pseudomonadati; Bacteroidota; Flavobacteriia; Flavobacteriales; Flavobacteriaceae.